GAGAAAAAGAAGGCUUAAUUUAAAUGUAUAUUUUAAUUCAUGUCCCCAUCUUAUUUUUAUUCUGAAGUAUCGAUUAAUUUAAGUAAGCCGCCAGGUGGGCCACUUGUCGUGCAGUAGAAAACAGCUGAUGUCUCAAUUAAGUGUCUUGGCCGAAACAGAAAGUCGCCAUUGUUCAUUUUCAUGGCGUGUAUAGCCACUGAUAACUCGUUUCUUACUGUGCUUUAUUGAUGGGAAUUCUCAUCUUGUGACUCCCUAUUUCUUAUCUGAUUCUCUGAGAUUAGGCUGGAUUAGGCCCUAGAUUUGAUUUCGUGUCAUUUGUGUCUACGAUUGCCUUAUUGACCGGCUCCUAAUUGUGGAUGCUAGGCAAUUUGUGCUCUGUCCAAUUUAUUGACGAAUAAACCCGUGAUUAUCUGAGAAGCAAUCGAUAGGCCUACGCCUCCCUCUUCGACCGUCUCACUCUCUCGCUGAAACA
RNAcentral lists this long non-coding RNA (472 nucleotides) under Daphnia pulicaria. Its description in RNAcentral is "uncharacterized LOC124327495". Lineage: Eukaryota; Metazoa; Arthropoda; Branchiopoda; Diplostraca; Daphniidae. The record is from RNAcentral.